Molecule: long non-coding RNA, 154 nt
Organism: Phyllostomus discolor (pale spear-nosed bat)
Lineage: Eukaryota; Metazoa; Chordata; Mammalia; Chiroptera; Phyllostomidae
Exons: 3
Source: RefSeq, a predicted model, not a curated record
AGAUAAGUCCCUUGAACAUUUCAUAUAAUAAUGGUUUGGUGAUGAUCAACUGCUUUAACUUGACUUUAUCUGGGAAGCACAUUAUCUACCCUUCCAUUAUAAAUAAUAGCUUUCCUGGACAGAGUAAUCCUUGAUUGUUAAUUCUAAUAGCAAG